Cervus elaphus (red deer) is the source of this 1579-nucleotide long non-coding RNA. RefSeq lists it as uncharacterized. The record is from RefSeq and is a predicted model, not a curated record. NCBI's taxonomy places the organism in Eukaryota, Metazoa, Chordata, Mammalia, Artiodactyla, Cervidae. The transcript is spliced from 6 exons.
UCGAACCCAAAUCUCCCUCAUUGCAGGCGGAUUCUUUACCAGCUGAGUCCCAAGGAAGCCCUUAAACCUUUUAUUUUAUUUUAUUUUAUUUACUGAGUACCUUUUAUUUACAGUGCCUAUCGUUCUGUUACCUAUUAUUGGUUCUCCUCAGACUGGCGAUUGGCUGAUGGCCCCGUCAAUCCCCAGGGGAAAGGACUAACUUUCGGACACCUCGGAAAAAUAUUACUGUGAGCCCCUUCUUGUUGAAAUGUAAGAUUCUGGAGAAAACCCAAGAGAUUCGCUGGUGUGUGCAUCCAUAGAUAAUCAGAAAGCUACUUUGUGAACCUGGAAUGAAAAAAAGCAGGAUUGGUUGUAUUAUUUGAUGGAUAAUGGUAUUAUUUCCUGUUGAAGAUGUUCACACAGCAAGAGGCACAUGAUAUUACUUGGAGAAGGUGAAGAGAGUUCAGAUGACAUCCCUUCCCUGUUCUUCCUCCCAAGCAUAGUUCUGUGGACAGUUUUGGUGACUAUGAAGGGACUCAGAGCUGAUUUCUCUCUUUCUGCUGAGUUCUAUGAGGAUCCAAAGCCUUGGUACCAGCAAGGGCCUUUUGUGCCCAUCCACCUCCACCAGGAGUCCAGACAACCGGACAGUUGUUCUUUUACUCUGAUGCCUUUACAAAAGUGAAGCUCUUCAAGAAGGUUAAUGGAAGACCUUUUGACAAGUGCAGAUUUCUGAUAACUUUCAGAUAAUACCACUGAACCAGGACACAAAUGGAAGCACUGGUUAUUAUCACCAAGGCUUUGACUGAAAUGUCAGGUUUGAGAAUUACAUAAAAUCAGAUAUUACCAGACAACUUCGGAGAACUAAAAUGGACUUUAUGGAGCCAUUUCCUUAGAAAAACAGACUAAUCUUGCUCAGAGUUCUCAGCAACCUCACCAGGUGACUAAGAAAGGUCACUUCCUGGCAGGUAUAAGAACCUCAAGAUAUUUUGGGGAAAUUCAGAAGAGAGAAAUUCACCCAACUCUAUAAUUGUUACAGUUAGAUCUCAUGGCAAGUCUUUGGAAUGAUAUUCCUGGCCUCAGUAGGCUUUCAACAGUCAAUCUGAGAUUCCUUAUAGAAGCAUUAUUAAAGCACAUUGACCAGAGUGUAAAUGAUCAACCGCCAGUCUUGUUAAACUAAUGUAGACAAUCAGGUCCAAUUUAUUGAAACUAGACUAACAUUGCAAAUAAAUUAGUCUUAAUUUGGCUAUAUUUGGUAGAAAUUUGAGUAACAUUAGAGAAGAAAUUGUUUUAGUGGAUAUCAGGUUCUAGUGCUGCUAAUUUUAUUUCAAGUUAGGUAAUUACUAUCUAAACUCACUUCCUAGAUGGCUCCUUAUAGCUCUGUUAUGUUACAGAAAAAGGUCAUUGUUCAUUCAUUAAAAGGAAUGAAAAAGUUCAUUCAUUAAAAGGACAUUGUAAGUUUAUUUAUGCUAUUCAAUGAUAGAAAUAUAUCUUUGGAUAAAGAUAUCUUAAAGGAGAUCAACCCUGAAUAUUUAUUGGAAGGACUGAUGCUGAAGCUCCAAUACUUUGGCCACCUGAUGCACAGAGCCAACUCAUUUGAAAA